This is a long non-coding RNA of Oncorhynchus keta (chum salmon), 1897 nucleotides long. RefSeq lists it as uncharacterized. The record is from RefSeq and is a predicted model, not a curated record. The transcript is spliced from 3 exons. NCBI's taxonomy places the organism in Eukaryota, Metazoa, Chordata, Actinopteri, Salmoniformes, Salmonidae.
GUUUCAGCCUGUGCUUCUGUGGCGGGGCAAGCCAGCAGAAAAUAUGGAGUGUCGUGCCGUGAUUGGCUCAGUGUUCUGUCACUCAUGGGGACACGAUGUCACUGCCAAGUCUAAGUAUAGACCUUAAAUUCAAGCCCCUUGGGUGCUGCCAUAGAGUUGCAUUAGAAGUGCCCAUCCAAGAAGGCUCAAGGUCAUUGGCCACAGAUAGAAAUCACGUCAAAUAACGUUAUAUGUACAGUAGCUUUGAUUAGCCUGAGUGUCAACAUCAUACUUUCAAAAUCUUAGCUAGCAGUCAUCAUCAUGAAUCAAGUCGACAAUCUACUGGCAAAUCCUUUUGAAUCCUUGUCAAAUGAAGAGAAGUAAUGAAGAGAAAUUAUAGAUAAAAUGUAUCUGUGCUCAUCAGCCAUUGGACAUAAACAUUACACAACAAGUUGGAAAUUGCAAAGUCAACAAUGAGUGGUUUGGAAUUAAUCAGUGGCUAACUGCAAGCAUUGCAAAGCAAUCAUUGGCUUGUUAUUCAGUGGAGUGUCUGUGUGGUACAAAGUCUAAGAUUAAGGGUAUCUUUUCCUAGUUUAAAAUGAUAAACAUUCAACGAAGCAUGAUUUGUGCUGCUCUCAAAACAGCUAUUAACUCAGAACUGCAAACUCUGAUUUUAGUGAGUUCAAGACAACUGGGAACUUUCAACCAAUUCAGAAUUGUAAAUCCAGAACUCGAGCCUCUUUCUAGAGCUACAACCUGAAGAUCACUGACGUCAUUAUGAAUCAACUUUUCCGAGUUCCCAGUCGUAUUAAAAGCACCAUAAAUCCAGAGAAAGGGCAGAUUUAAUGACAAAGUUUUUGAUGACAAAAUUUGCCCACGAAGAACCGCCGCGCCACCUUCCUGUCCAAGUGAGCACGGCACAACAAGGUGAGUCCAAAAAUGUCUUGUAUGCUGCUGCAUUAAUGAUGUAUUAUGCCAGAGAGAUGUGUAUACUGUAGCUAAAAAAGUAAUACUAAGUGUAUGUUGUGUAGUAAGCUGUUAGUUGCCCAUGUGCCUUACCCUAAUAAUUUGGUCUAUUUUCACCUCUGUUCUGACUUGGUGAUGCUUACCUGUUUUUUUCAGCAAUCUGUUUUUGAGAAAUGUAAUCAUCAAAUGUUGGAAGAGCUUUCAUUGUCUGCUUACAUGCCCCCUUUAUUUAUCCUGCGGUUCUGACUUGGUGUACAGGGAGAACACUGUAAGAAUGGCCCAUGUUCUGAAUUCUGUCGCUGUACAUUUCAAAAGUGCUGAGCAAAUAGUUAUAUUGACUACUGUACGGCCGUCCUAGCUCGCUCAUUAAUGUCUUAAUUGAAAUUACGGAUUGCCUCGUAUCCGCUUGUCGUCCCCUUAUGCCAUAGUUUGUACAUCUCAAUUGUCAGUAGAAACCACAUUUGUCGAAGCAAGUCAGCCAUAUCAGCACAUUUUUUUAAAGACAGUAAAUGAGGCUGAAUGAACUGUUUCACUGCCAGACAAGGCUCCGCUGAUAGUCAGGUGUAGCAGUGGUAAGGUGUUGGGACUGCUGUUGGGUCAGCUGAUAGCCAGGUGUAGCAGUGGUAAGGUGUUGGGACUGCUGUUGGGUCAGCUGAUAGCCAGGUGUAGCAGUGGUAAGGUGUUGGGACUUCUGUUGGGUCAGCUGAUAGCCAGGUGUAGCAGUGGUAAGGUGUUGGGACUGCUGUUGGGUCAGCUGAUAGCCAGGUGUAGCAGUGGUAUGGUGUUGGGACUGCUGUUGGCUCUGCUGAUAGCCAGGUGUAGCAGUGGUAAGGUGUUGGGACUGCUGUUGGGUCAGCUGAUAGCCAGGUGUAGCAGUGGCAAGGUGUUGGGACUGCUGUUGGCUCCGCUGAUAGCCAGGUGUAGCAGUGGUAAGGUGUUGGGACUGCUGUUG